This 274-nucleotide ribosomal RNA is filed under the name uncultured bacterium. RNAcentral describes it as "partial 16S ribosomal RNA". It matches the Rfam family "Bacterial small subunit ribosomal RNA", at positions 523 to 796 of the family's 1533-position model. The record is from RNAcentral.
AUACGGAGGGUGCAAGCGUUAAUCGGAAUUACUGGGCGUAAAGCGUGCGCAGGUGGUUUUGUAAGUCAGAUGUGAAAUCCCCGGGCUUAACCUGGGAACUGCGUUUGAAACUGCAAGGCUAGAGUGUGGCAGAGGGGGGUGGAAUUCCGCGUGUAGCAGUGAAAUGCGUAGAUAUGUGGAGGAACACCGAUGGCGAAGGCAGCCCCCUGGGUCAACACUGACGCUCAGGCACGAAAGCAUGGGGAGCAAACAGGAUUAGAAACCCCGGUAGUCC